UCUCGGCCCAGCCUGAAAUUUGCUAAACCUGAUGCGUUUGAAACUAAGGUGAGCAAAUAUUCAGGUGUGUCGACGA
This is a non-coding RNA of Anopheles maculatus, 76 nucleotides long. The record is from Rfam. Lineage: Eukaryota; Metazoa; Arthropoda; Insecta; Diptera; Culicidae.